RNAcentral lists this ribosomal RNA (413 nucleotides) under uncultured bacterium. Its description in RNAcentral is "bacterial SSU rRNA". It matches the Rfam family "Bacterial small subunit ribosomal RNA", at positions 506 to 918 of the family's 1533-position model. The record is from RNAcentral.
UGCCAGCAGCCGCGGUAAUACGGAGGGGGUUAGCGUUGUUCGGAAUUACUGGGCGUAAAGCGCGCGUAGGCGGAUUAGAAAGUUGGGGGUGAAAUCCCGGGGCUCAACCUCGGAACUGCCUCCAAAACUGCUAGUCUAGAGUUCGAGAGAGGUGAGUGGAAUUCCGAGUGUAGAGGUGAAAUUCGUAGAUAUUCGGAGGAACACCAGUGGCGAAGGCGGCUCACUGGCUCGAUACUGACGCUGAGGUGCGAAAGUGUGGGGAGCAAACAGGAUUAGAUACCCUGGUAGUCCACACCGUAAACGAUGAAUGCCAGUCGUCGGGUAGUAUACUAUUCUGGUGACACACCUAACGGAUUAAGCAUUCCGCCUGGGGAGUACGGUCGCAGGAUUAAAACUCAAAGGAAUUGACGGGG